CUCCCCGGGUGCAGUGUGGGUGGCUCCUGGCCGGGGAAGUGAGAAGCCCUCCGUGCAGUGUCUCUGAAGCAGCCCCAGGCCAAGGCUGUGGCGUGCUCGGUGGUGCUGUAGGCCCAAGAUGUUUAUGGGUCGAGGGUCCCCGGGGCCGGGAUUCUGAUCCCUGGUGAGAGGUGGGUGGGAGGAAGUCCAGACGUGUCCUGAGUGGCCAUUCCUUACAAUGAGGUGACACCGCCUCUCCAAACACGUGACGUGGCUGGAAGCAGAUGCUGCUCUCUGGUUCUCCCUCCUCUCCGUCCCUGCCUGGGACAUGUGGAUCUCACCCCCAGCCACUUUCUUCUGGCCUCUGUUCCCCUGCCUCGGACACGUGGACCUCACCCCCAGUCUCCUUCUCGCCUCUACCUCCUGCAGGCGCAGCCAGGUCACAGUCACCAGAAGUUUGGCAGAUCUCAGUGAGGCGUUAGUUUGCUUUUCCUUGUGACGGCUGGACGUCGAGAGGGGCCCCGUCUGGUGUGGCUGUGUCCGGCCCCCCAUGCAGGCCCUGCACCGUGGACUCCCAACCUGCGGGGAUCCGUCUCCAAAGACGCCAGUAGUUCUGCCAGCCCAGCGUUUCCUGAGUGUGUCCCGAGGCCCUGGUCGCACGGAGUGGAGUCUAGAUCCGUCCCCAGUCUGGAGUGCAGUGGUGAGAUCUCAGCUCACCACAACCUCUGCCUCCCAGGUUCAAGCGAUUCUCCUUCCUCAGCCUCCCGAGUAGCUAGGAUUAUAGGCAUGCGCCACCAUGCCCAGCUAAUUUUGUAUUUUUUUUAGUAGAGACGUGGUUUCUCCAUGUUGGUCAGGCUGGUCUCGAACUCCUGACCUCAGGUGAUCCACUCGCCUUGGCCUCCCAAAGUGCUGAGAUUGCAGGCAUGAGCCUCCAUGCCCGGCCACCUCUCCCAUCUUCUUAUGGAUCAUCGGGUAAGACUCCCAUAAAUGGAGCCUCCCUAUGGCUGGUCUCUGCUGUCUCAUCCUCAUGACGUGCCCUGAGUCCUUUCUCCCUUAGGGUGGCCUGUCUAUUCUGCACCUCACUUUCAAAAUACUCUUUUUUCUUUUCUUUUCUUUUUUUAAGACAGAGUUUUGCUCUUGUUGCCCAGGCUGGAGUGCAGUGGUGCAAUCUCGGCUCCCUGCAAGCUCUGCCUCCUGGAUUCGAGUGAUUCUCCUGCCUCAGCCUCCCGAGUAGCUGGGAUUACAGGCGCUCGCCACCACGCCUGGCUAAUUUUUCUAUUUUUAAUAGAGAUGGGGUUUCACCAUGUUGGCCAGGCUGGUCUUGAACUCCUGACCUCAAGUAAUCCGCUCACCUUGGCCUCCUAAAAUGCUAGGAUUACAGGCGUGAGCCACUGCAAAAUACUUUUCUUCUUUUGCAAUAAAUUACUCU
Long non-coding RNA from Symphalangus syndactylus (siamang), 1408 nucleotides. RefSeq lists it as uncharacterized. NCBI's taxonomy places the organism in Eukaryota, Metazoa, Chordata, Mammalia, Primates, Hylobatidae. The record is from RefSeq and is a predicted model, not a curated record.